This 200-nucleotide ribosomal RNA is filed under the name uncultured organism. RNAcentral's name for it is "partial small subunit ribosomal RNA". It matches the Rfam family "Bacterial small subunit ribosomal RNA", at positions 1183 to 1382 of the family's 1533-position model. The record is from RNAcentral.
CGUCAAAUCAUCAUGCCCCUUAUGACCUGGGCUACACACGUGCUACAAUGGAUGGUACAAAGGGUUGCGAAACCGCGAGGUUGAGCCAAUCCCAUAAAACCAUUCUCAGUUCGGAUUGCAGGCUGCAACUCGCCUGCAUGAAGCCGGAAUCGCUAGUAAUCGCGGAUCAGCAUGUCGCGGUGAAUACGUUCUCGGGCCUU